RNAcentral lists this ribosomal RNA (901 nucleotides) under Transversotrema sp. 13179. RNAcentral's name for it is "eukaryotic LSU rRNA". It matches the Rfam family "Eukaryotic large subunit ribosomal RNA", at positions 38 to 647 of the family's 3401-position model. Lineage: Eukaryota; Metazoa; Platyhelminthes; Trematoda; Azygiida; Transversotrematidae. The record is from RNAcentral.
GCAUAUCACUAAGCGGAGGAAAAGAAACUAACAAGGAUUCCCCUAGUAACUGCGAGUGAAGAGGGAAAAGCCCAGCACCGAAGGUAGUAUCCGUUUGGGUACCUACCAAUGUGGUGUUUUGGUCAGCUCGUAUGAGUGCGGCUCCAUCUCAAGUCCAGCAAUGAGUACGGUUUUUUGGACUUGGCCCAGAGUGGGUGAAAGGCCCGUUGAGGUGGAGAUCAGGUGUGACCGCGCUUGUCGAGUUUGACCAUGGAGUCGGGUUGUUUGUGAAUGCAGCCCUAAGUGGGUGGUAAACUCCAUCCAAGGCUAAAUACUUGCACGAGUCCGAUAGCGAACAAGUACCGUGAGGGAAAGUUGAAAAGUACUUUGAAGAGAGAGUAAACAGUGCGUGAAGCCGCAUAGAGGUUAAACGGGUAGAGUUAAGCUGCGUGGGUCAUGGAUUCAGCUGGUGAACUUGACUUGUGCUUGGGCACAUUGUAUCGUCUUCUGAGUCUGCUUAGCUGCAGGUUCCAGGUCCCCUGGGAUAUGCGACGCACUUACUGGGUGCUGCAUGCUUAGUUGAUGUGAUGUCGGUUCGUCAGUGCACUUCCAUGGCUCCUUGACCACGAUCGGUGUCAUUGAGUUGCCCUCGUUGACAAACUGUGGAUGUAGGUUACAACCUAUGUCUUCGGUGUGACAGGACCCCUGUGAAUGCAGGUCGCAGUUGUCAGUGGGAAGUAAUUCAGUGGACCGGGACAGCGGCCUUGGUUCCCCUUUCAUGCUCUGCUAGAUGGUUUUGUGUAUGGUUAUCGUGUGCCUGUGCAAACAGGCCCGUUAACUACACAUUGUUAUCUAGUAGAGUAUUGUUUAGGGAACCUUCUCAUGGGCCAAAGUCAGUGGUGUGUGUAAACUUUCUACCCGA